UACGGGGGGGUGCGAGCGUUGUCCGGAAUCACUGGGCGUAAAGGGCGCGUAGGUGGCUUUGUAAGUUUUGCGGUGAAAGCCCGGGGCUCAACCCCGGGUCUGCCGUGGAUACUGCAAGGCUUGAGUACUGUAGAGGCAGGUAGAAUAUCGGGUGUAGCGGUGGAAUGCGUAGAGAUCCGAUAGAAGACCGGUGGCGAAGGCGGCCUGCUGGGCAGUAACUGACACUGAGGCGCGACAGCGUGGGGGAGCAAACAGG
This 256-nucleotide ribosomal RNA is filed under the name uncultured bacterium. RNAcentral describes it as "partial 16S ribosomal RNA". It matches the Rfam family "Bacterial small subunit ribosomal RNA", at positions 524 to 776 of the family's 1533-position model. The record is from RNAcentral.